GUUUCACUUCAGAUUGAAACCCAAAGAAAUAACAUCCUUUUACAAUAGCUCUCCUAGUCUUCACUUCACCAUUCGGAACAUUUAAGAACUAGAACCCGGGAAUGAUAUUGACUCCAAACCCUUUGUCUAAGCAGAUACGUUCUUGAUAUGUCCUGUUCAUCUUCAAUGUGGUGUUGAGUUUGACUAGUGGAUCCACCAAAUGCUCCCCCUAAGCUGUUGCUGGGAUUUUCUUAACAAUCCUUAUCCUUGCAAAGAGAUUCUGCUUGGAUUUGAAUCAUCAUAAUACGAAUGAUAUCACCUUUAACAGCUUGGAGCAAAGUGUCGUUCAAUGUCCUGUCCAGACUUACAAUCACCUUCUGUUGAUUAAUCACGAUCACCCUGUAGACUGUAGACUCCAUUGAGUAGCCGAGGAAAAUAUUCUUUG
This 424-nucleotide long non-coding RNA is filed under the name Daucus carota (carrot). RNAcentral describes it as "long non-coding RNA (DCAR_LNC004569)". The record is from RNAcentral. Lineage: Eukaryota; Viridiplantae; Streptophyta; Magnoliopsida; Apiales; Apiaceae.